This 465-nucleotide ribosomal RNA is filed under the name uncultured bacterium. Its description in RNAcentral is "partial 16S ribosomal RNA". It matches the Rfam family "Bacterial small subunit ribosomal RNA", at positions 338 to 795 of the family's 1533-position model. The record is from RNAcentral.
CCUACGGGAGGCAGCAGUGGGGAAUAUUGCGCAAUGGGCGAAAGCCUGACGCAGCGACGCCGCGUGAGGGAUGAAGGUCUUCGGAUCGUAAACCUCUGUCAGCAGGGAAGAACGGUCACUGUGCUAAUCAGCAGUGAAUUGACGGUACCUGAAAAGGAAGCACCGGCUAACUCCGUGCCAGCAGACGCGGUAAUACGGAGGGUGCGAGCGUUAAUCGGAUUUACUGGGCGUAAAGCGCUCGUAGGAGGUAUGUCAAGUCAAGGGUGAAAUCCCCGCGCUCAACGUGGGAACUGCCUUUGAAACUGGCAAACUGGAGUGUGUGAGAGGAUAGUGGAAUUCCAGGUGUAGGGGUGGAAUCCGUAGAUAUCUGGAGGAACAUCAGUGGCGAAGGCGACUAUCUGGCACAUAACUGACGCUGAGGAGCGAAAGCGUGGGUAGCAAACAGGAUUAGAUACCCGAGUAGUC